RNAcentral lists this ribosomal RNA (1079 nucleotides) under uncultured bacterium. Its description in RNAcentral is "bacterial SSU rRNA". It matches the Rfam family "Bacterial small subunit ribosomal RNA", at positions 73 to 1162 of the family's 1533-position model. The record is from RNAcentral.
CCCUGCUUUUGUGGGGUGCUCGAGUGGCGAACGGGUGAGUAACACGUGAGUAACCUGCCCUUGACUUUGGGAUAACUUCAGGAAACUGGGGCUAAUACCGGAUAGGAGCUCCUGCUGCAUGGUGGGGGUUGGAAAGUUUCGGCGGUUGGGGAUGGACUCGCGGCUUAUCAGCUUGUUGGUGGGGUAGUGGCUUACCAAGGCUUUGACGGGUAGCCGGCCUGAGAGGGUGACCGGCCACAUUGGGACUGAGAUACGGCCCAGACUCCUACGGGAGGCAGCAGUGGGGAAUAUUGCACAAUGGGCGGAAGCCUGAUGCAGCAACGCCGCGUGCGGGAUGACGGCCUUCGGGUUGUAAACCGCUUUCGCCUGUGACGAAGCGUGAGUGACGGUAAUGGGUAAAGAAGCACCGGCUAACUACGUGCCAGCAGCCGCGGUGAUACGUAGGGUGCGAGCGUUGUCCGGAUUUAUUGGGCGUAAAGGGCUCGUAGGUGGUUGAUCGCGUCGGAAGUGUAAUCUUGGGGCUUAACCCUGAGCGUGCUUUCGAUACGGGUUGACUUGAGGAAGGUAGGGGAGAAUGGAAUUCCUGGUGGAGCGGUGGAAUGCGCAGAUAUCAGGAGGAACACCAGUGGCGAAGGCGGUUCUCUGGGCCUUUCCUGACGCUGAGGAGCGAAAGCGUGGGGAGCGAACAGGCUUAGAUACCCUGGUAGUCCACGCUGUAAACGGUGGGUACUAGGUGUGGGGUCCAUUCCACGGGUUCCGCGCCGUAGCUAACGCUUUAAGUACCCCGCCUGGGGAGUACGGCCGCAAGGCUAAAACUCAAAGGAAUUGACGGGGCCCCGCACAAGCGGCGGAGCAUGCGGAUUAAUUCGAUGCAACGCGUAGAACCUUACCUGGGUUUGACAUGGAUCGGGAGUGCUCAGAGAUGGGUGUGCCUCUUUUGGGGUCGGUUCACAGGUGGUGCAUGGCUGUCGUCAGCUCGUGUCGUGAGAUGUUGGGUUAAGUCCCGCAACGAGCGCAACCCUUGUUCACUGUUGCCAGCACGUUAUGGUGGGGACUCAGUGGAGACCGCCGGGGUCAAC